GACGAACGCUGGCGGCGUGCUUAACACAUGCAAGUCGAACGAUGAAAGCUGGAGCUUGCUCCGGCUGGAUUAGUGGCGAACGGGUGAGUAACACGUGAGCAAUCUGCCCUUGACUCUGGGAUAACUCCGAGAAAUCGGUGCUAAUACCGGAUAUGACCCUUGGCGGCAUCGCAGGGGGUGGAAAGUGUUUCGGUAAAGGAUGAGCUCGCGGCCUAUCAGCUUGUUGGUGAGGGAAUGGCUCACCAAGGCGACGACGGGUAGCCGGCCUGAGAGGGUGACCGGCCACACUGGGACUGAGACACGGCCCAGACUCCUACGGGAGGCAACAGUGGGGAAUAUUGCACAAUGGGCGCAAGCCUGAUGCAGCAACGCCGCGUGGGGGAUGACGGCCUUCGGGUUGUAAACCUCCUUUAGCAGGGGAGAAGCGAAAGUGACGGUACCUGCAGAAAAAGCACCGGCUAACUACGUGCCAGCCGCCGCGGUAA
RNAcentral lists this ribosomal RNA (485 nucleotides) under uncultured bacterium. RNAcentral's name for it is "partial 16S ribosomal RNA". It matches the Rfam family "Bacterial small subunit ribosomal RNA", at positions 28 to 523 of the family's 1533-position model. The record is from RNAcentral.